GUGGGGAAUAUUGGACAAUGGGCGAAAGCCUGAUCCAGCCUUGCCGCGUGUGUGAAGAAGGUCUUCGGAUUGUAAAGCACUUUAAGUUGGGAGGAAGGGCAGUAAGUUAAUACCUUGCUGUUUUGACGUUACCGACAGAAUAAGCACCGGCUAACUUCGUGCCAGCAGCCGCGGUAAUACGAAGGGUGCAAGCGUUAAUCGGAAUUACUGGGCGUAAAGCGCGCGUAGGUGGUUUUGUAAGUUGGAGGUGAAAUCCCCGGGCUCAACCUGGGAACUGCCUCCAAAACUGCAUGACUAGAGUACGGUAGAGGGUAGUGGAAUUUCCUGUGUAGCGGUGAAAUGCGUAGAUAUAGGAAGGAACACCAGUGGCGAAGGCGACUACCUGGACUGAUACUGACACUGAGGUGCGAAAGCGUGGGGAGCAAACAGGAUUAGAAACCCUAGUAGUCC
RNAcentral lists this ribosomal RNA (450 nucleotides) under uncultured bacterium. RNAcentral's name for it is "partial 16S ribosomal RNA". It matches the Rfam family "Bacterial small subunit ribosomal RNA", at positions 354 to 796 of the family's 1533-position model. The record is from RNAcentral.